Molecule: transfer RNA, 69 nt
Filed under: Necturus beyeri (Gulf Coast waterdog)
Lineage: Eukaryota; Metazoa; Chordata; Amphibia; Caudata; Proteidae
Description: tRNA-Glu
Rfam family: tRNA
About the family: Transfer RNA (tRNA) molecules are approximately 80 nucleotides in length. Their secondary structure includes four short double-helical elements and three loops (D, anti-codon, and T loops).
Source: RNAcentral
GUUUUUAUAGUUGAAUACAACGUUGGUUUUUCAGAUCAGAAGUUUUGGUUAAAGUCCAAGUAAAAAUAA